RNAcentral lists this ribosomal RNA (496 nucleotides) under Ophioplinthaca defensor. RNAcentral's name for it is "partial large subunit ribosomal RNA". It matches the Rfam family "Bacterial large subunit ribosomal RNA", at positions 1824 to 2604 of the family's 2925-position model. The record is from RNAcentral. Lineage: Eukaryota; Metazoa; Echinodermata; Ophiuroidea; Amphilepidida; Ophiacanthidae.
CAUUGCUUCCAGAAUAAGAUUGAGAGGUACGACCUGCCCGGUGACUUUAGGGUUAAACGGCUGCAGUACUCUGACUGUGCAAAGGUAGCAUAAUCAUUUGCCUAGUAAUUUUAGGCUAGAAUCAACGGUUAGACGAAGGAUGAGCUGUCUCCUUUUAAUUUAGCUGAAGUUAGCUUUGGAGUGAAGAGACUUUAAUAAGUGAGUGGGACGAGAAGACCCUAUUGAGCUUUAACUUAGUUAAAAAUAAAGUUUUAAUAAAGUUUGGAUUGGGGCAAUUCUUUUUAUAAUAAAACAAAAGUUAGGUAUAAUGAAUUUAUACUAUAAGACCCUGAACUUAUCGGAAACAAGAAAAAGUUACCAUAGGGAUAACAGCGUUAUUUUUCUUGAGAGUACAUAUUGACAGAAAAGUUUGCGACCUCGAUGUUGGAUUAAGAUAACCUGGAUGUGCAGCAGCCUCCAAUGGUUGGUUUGUUCAACCAUUAAAAUCUUACGUGAU